UGAGGAACAUGACCUUCGGCGGGGGAUAGCCGGCCCAACGGCCGGGUAAUACCGCGUACGACCACAUGGGGACAUCCCUGAGUGGUGAAAGCAGCAAUGCGCCGAUGGAGUGCCUCGCGGCCUAUCAGCUAGUUGGUGAGGUAACGGCUCACCAAGGCAACGAUGCGUAGCCGACCUGAGAGGGUGAUCGGCCANAUUGGAACUGAGACACGGUCCAGACCUNUACGGGAGG
Molecule: ribosomal RNA, 232 nt
Filed under: uncultured bacterium
Lineage: Bacteria
Description: partial 16S ribosomal RNA
Rfam family: Bacterial small subunit ribosomal RNA
Source: RNAcentral